RNAcentral lists this transfer RNA (83 nucleotides) under Felis catus (domestic cat). It matches the Rfam family "tRNA". Rfam says of the family: Transfer RNA (tRNA) molecules are approximately 80 nucleotides in length. Their secondary structure includes four short double-helical elements and three loops (D, anti-codon, and T loops). RNAcentral also lists the same sequence under 3 other names. The record is from Rfam by way of RNAcentral. Lineage: Eukaryota; Metazoa; Chordata; Mammalia; Carnivora; Felidae.
GCCUGGUGGCUCAGUUGGUUGAGCAUCCGACUUUGGCUCAGGUCAUGAUCUCACAGUUUGUGGGUUCAAGCCCGCAUCAGGCU